CCUGUUCCAAUAUUUCAUAAAACAGUUUUGAUUAGGAAAUGAUAGGUGAGAGUUAUGUGGGUCUUCCAAUCCAAAGAAAUUUUGGAUACAUAAAUAAAAUCAGAAUUGUAAGAAUAGGUUAAAUGUGUAUGAUGGUUUAUAUAGGGUAAAGGGAAACCAUUUUGAGAUUGAAAAAUCUCGUUUUGUACAAAUUUUCAGUUGUAAUGUUUUUUUAUAGCCGUCAAAUUGUACUGAGUUCACCAGUAACCUCCCUCAAGUUAAAGAGAAAAAGAGUUGUACUUAGCUUAAGAUAAUUCAGUUAUAUCAUUGACCAAUAAAGAAGUUAUGCCAAUAUCAAGAGGAGCAAUAAAGAAGAAGACCAGUCACAGUCACAAUUAGAAACUUAUUUUGUAUUUGAUCUUUUUAUUUUUAUGUAAAUUUAUCAUUAUAUAAAAUGUAAUAUUUGAUUAAAUGAAAUGAAAUUAGUUGAUGUAUA
Molecule: long non-coding RNA, 475 nt
Organism: Impatiens glandulifera
Lineage: Eukaryota; Viridiplantae; Streptophyta; Magnoliopsida; Ericales; Balsaminaceae
Exons: 2
Source: RefSeq, a predicted model, not a curated record